GAUGAACGCUAGCGGGAGGCCUAAUACAUGCAAGUCGAACGGGUGAAUUAGCUUCGGUUGGUUCACUAGUGGCGCACGGGUGAGUAACGCGUACGCAAUCUGCCCUAUGCUGGGGGAUAGCCCUGGGAAACUGGGAGUAAUACGCCAUAGAUCUGUGGAUUCGCAUGGAUUUACAGAUAAAGCUGCGGCGGCAUAGGAUGAGCGUGCGUCUGAUUAGGUAGUUGGUGAGGUAACGGCUCACCAAGCCGACGAUAGGUAGGGGGCGUGAGAGCGUGGCCCCCCACACGGGUACUGAGACACGGACCCGACUCCUACGGGAGGCAGCAGUAAGGAAUAAUUGGACAAUGGGCGGCAAGCCUCGAUCCAGCCAUCCCGCCGUGCAGGAUGACAGCCC
This 394-nucleotide ribosomal RNA is filed under the name uncultured bacterium. RNAcentral's name for it is "bacterial SSU rRNA". It matches the Rfam family "Bacterial small subunit ribosomal RNA", at positions 28 to 417 of the family's 1533-position model. The record is from RNAcentral.